Molecule: non-coding RNA, 31 nt
Filed under: Mus musculus (house mouse)
Lineage: Eukaryota; Metazoa; Chordata; Mammalia; Rodentia; Muridae
Source: RNAcentral
UGUUCAUAGAUUCUAUGUGUCUUUUCAUCCU